RNAcentral lists this non-coding RNA (28 nucleotides) under Mus musculus (house mouse). The record is from RNAcentral. Lineage: Eukaryota; Metazoa; Chordata; Mammalia; Rodentia; Muridae. RNAcentral also lists the same sequence under 1 other name.
GUUGAUGUCAACCAUCAUCUGACUCCUG